CCUACGGGAGGCAGCAGUGGGGAAUUUUGGACAAUGGGGGCAACCCUGAUCCAGCAAUGCCGCGUGAGUGAAGAAGGCCUUCGGGUUGUAAAGCUCUUUUGUCAGGGAAGAAACGGGUGGGGCUAAUAUCCUCAUCUAAUGACGGUACCUGAAGAAUAAGCACCGGCUAACUACGUGCCAGCAGCCGCGGUAAUACGUAGGGUGCAAGCGUUAAUCGGAAUUACUGGGCGUAAAGCGUGCGCAGGCGGUUAUGUAAGUCAGAUGUGAAAUCCCCGGGCUCAACCUGGGAACUGCAUUUGAGACUGCAUGGCUAGAGUGUGUCAGAGGGGGGUAGAAUUCCACGUGUAGCAGUGAAAUGCGUAGAUAUGUGGAGGAAUACCGAUGGCGAAGGCAGCCCCCUGGGAUAACACUGACGCUCAUGCACGAAAGCGUGGGGAGCAAACAGGAUUAGAUACCCUGGUAGUCCACGCCCUAAACGAUGUCUACUAGUUGUCGGGACUUAAUUGUCUUGGUAACGCAGCUUAACGNGUGAAGUACGACCGCGUGGGGAGUACGGUCGACAAAGUAAUUAAAAACCGUACGAAAAGGUAAGUUGGGUCGGCGUGAGACGUAGACCGACGGACGACGACGAGGGAGGAGGGAG
RNAcentral lists this ribosomal RNA (643 nucleotides) under uncultured bacterium. Its description in RNAcentral is "bacterial SSU rRNA". The stretch from base 1 to 544 matches the Rfam family "Bacterial small subunit ribosomal RNA", at positions 338 to 873 of the family's 1533-position model. The record is from RNAcentral.